This 373-nucleotide long non-coding RNA is filed under the name Ananas comosus (pineapple). Its description in RNAcentral is "long non-coding RNA (ACOM_LNC044413)". Lineage: Eukaryota; Viridiplantae; Streptophyta; Magnoliopsida; Poales; Bromeliaceae. The record is from RNAcentral.
UUUAUUAUAGUGCGAAACAUGCAUUAAUAGAUUUUAGAUGAUUUUUUUUUUUUUUUGAGAAAUAGGUAGCACACUACCCGCUUCGUUUAUUUUAUUUAGAAAUAAACUUAGCUGAAAAUGUGAAUCAAUUAGGAUUCGAACUUGGGUCUCGGGUACCAACCAGCAAGUCCUUUGCCACUUGUUCUAGGGACGGUUGGUUGGUUACAUGAAAUUUAUUAUGAUGCUUCUUUUAGUAACACUUUCUUUUUUUUUUACUAUAUUUUAGAAAAUACCAUAUACCAAACGAGCCCUACGCGCCGAUAGGUCCUCACCAAAGAUUUGCUUACAAUUGUAAUCACCUUAGCAAAGCAUUUAGUAGAUACAAAACUUUGGA